This 270-nucleotide ribosomal RNA is filed under the name uncultured archaeon. Its description in RNAcentral is "partial 16S ribosomal RNA". It matches the Rfam family "Archaeal small subunit ribosomal RNA", at positions 477 to 747 of the family's 1478-position model. The record is from RNAcentral.
CAGCACCUCAAGUGGUCAGGAUGAUUAUUGGGCCUAAAGCAUCCGUAGCCGGCUCUGUAAGUUUUCGGUUAAAUCUGUAUGCUCAACAUACAGGCUGCCGGGAAUACUGCAGAGCUAGGGAGUGGGAGAGGUAGACGGUACUCGGUAGGAAGGGGUAAAAUCCUUUGAUCUAUUGAUGACCACCUGUGGCGAAGGCGGUCCACCAGAACACGUCCGACGGUGAGGGAUGAAAGCUGGGGGAGCAAACCGGAUUAGAUACCCGAGUAGUCC